UAGGGAAUCUUCCGCAAUGGGCGAAAGCCUGACGGAGCAACGCCGCGUGAGUGAUGAAGGUCUUCGGAUCGUAAAACUCUGUUAUUAGGGAAGAACAAAUGUGUAAGUAACUAUGCACGUCUUGACGGUACCUAAUCAGAAAGCCACGGCUAACUACGUGCCAGCAGCCGCGGUAAUACGUAUGUGGCAAGCGUUAUCCGGAAUUCUUGGGCGUAAAGCGCGCGUAGGCGGUUUUUUAAGUCUGAUGUGAAAGCCCACGGCUCAACCGUGGAGGGUCAUUGGAAACUGGAAAACUUGAGUGCAGAAGAGGAAAGUGGAAUUCCAUGUGUAGCGGUGAAAUGCGCAGAGAUAUGGAGGAACACCAGUGGCGAAGGCGACUGUCUGGUCUGUAACUGACGCUGAUGUGCGAAAGCGUGGGGAUCAAACAGG
This 429-nucleotide ribosomal RNA is filed under the name Actinomycetes bacterium. RNAcentral's name for it is "Actinobacteria bacterium partial 16S ribosomal RNA". It matches the Rfam family "Bacterial small subunit ribosomal RNA", at positions 355 to 776 of the family's 1533-position model. The record is from RNAcentral. Lineage: Bacteria; Bacillati; Actinomycetota; Actinomycetes.